GGGGGUUACCUUCUGUAAGGAGUGCCC
Molecule: unclassified non-coding RNA, 27 nt
Filed under: Dictyostelium discoideum
Lineage: Eukaryota; Evosea; Eumycetozoa; Dictyosteliales; Dictyosteliaceae
Source: RNAcentral